UCAGGCUCUUGGUUGUACUCCCUCCGUUCCUAAAUAUUUGUCUUUUUAGAUACUAGGUGAGUGCUCGUGCGUUGCACCGGGAAACCUCAUUUAUGCAUAGAUAUUGAGGUGAUACUAUCAAGAAUCAACUCAACCAAAACUGCAUGCAAAUAGUUCUCUUUUUGUUACAGGAUCAUACAAACCCAAUGCAUGUAUUUGUUUAAAUAAAGAUAUAUAGAUGGUAUAUAGUUUACUCUUACAAUCAAAAGACAUUUGAACUAUCCAUAAAUGUUCCUUCAUAUCUAAUUUCUAACAGUCAAAAAGUCUAAUGCUUUCAAAAAUAUAUGUACUAAUUAAUCAAGAAAAAAUCAUUCUUGAACCCCUACAUGUUUGAGUCAAAAAAUGAAACCAGUAUAAUUAUCGAAUUCAGUGGCCAUGGAAUAUAAUUUAUUUCACCGCGUAUCUGCAUGAGAAGAAUAGUACAGUAGUGAUUACUGGUAAAGCAUGAAAUUGUACAAAAUAGCUUAGCCAGAGAAAAACAAUGAUCAUAAAUUUAUGCAAGAUAAUAAUGGAUGAGAACACAAAAGGGAAAAGGCUCAAGCUUCUAUGUACCAAAUGAGACAGAAAAUAAUAUUCUUAUCCCAAAGUUAAAUUAAUAACCGCGACAUUUAUCAAGAGAUAAAAAAGUUAAAAUAGAAAAAAACAUCAGUACAUAUACUUUGAAAUGAGAUGUUCAACAUUACAUUCGCAGCUGUCAGAUUUUGCAGCAUAAAAUAUACUGGACAAUCAAAUCUUGCUGGCGGCUGGUAUCUAGUUUCGGGAGUGCUCUGUACCAUCAUAAACUUCUUUAACAGAAGGGUCUUCUCCAAACUGUAUUGAAAAAAGCCACCCCUUUAUUUGUACAAGAACAAUUUAUCCCGCGGCUGUUUAUAGUUAUGGCUAAGUAUUACGAAAAGGGUGUGCAGUAUAACAAUGAGGCAUUUAACAAAGUUGUUUCACGCGGCUCAAUGAUGUGAUGUUACCUAUAGGGCCUCAGUCAUUUUCUCCCCGAAACAUGGUUGUGCCGCCACGGCUUACAUGUCAGUCACUCGCUUGAACACCUCUUGUGCCAUCCACCAGCAUAUGGUGCAGACACCAAUGAUUUGCACAGCGAGUUAGAGCAACAUUGAAAUUCCUACGUAAAGAUAUGUAAGCAAGAAAAUUGAUUGACUAUACUCCUGGACAGACAUAAGUGAGGAAAACAAGAGUGUAAAAGAUAAAUGAUACUCACGAUUAAAGCUUUCAAGAAUUUUUCAGGAAUUUCAAAAAAGCACUGUCAUACAGUAACUCCACACACG
RNAcentral lists this long non-coding RNA (1316 nucleotides) under Triticum aestivum (bread wheat). RNAcentral describes it as "long non-coding RNA (TAES_LNC018990)". Lineage: Eukaryota; Viridiplantae; Streptophyta; Magnoliopsida; Poales; Poaceae. The record is from RNAcentral.